GACGGAGGGUGCAAGCGUUGCUCGGAAUCACUGGGCGUAAAGGGUGCGUAGGCGGUUUUGUAAGUCUGUCGUGAAAGCCCCGGGCUCAACCUGGGAAUUGCGAUGGAGACUGCAAGGCUUGAAUCUGGCAGAGGGGGGUAGAAUUCCACGUGUAGCAGUGAAAUGCGUAGAGAUGUGGAGGAACACCGAUGGCGAAGGCAGCCCCCUGGGUCAAGAUUGACGCUCAUGCACGAAAGCGUGGGGAGCAAACAGG
Molecule: ribosomal RNA, 253 nt
Filed under: uncultured bacterium
Lineage: Bacteria
Description: partial 16S ribosomal RNA
Rfam family: Bacterial small subunit ribosomal RNA
Source: RNAcentral